RNAcentral lists this non-coding RNA (21 nucleotides) under Caenorhabditis elegans. The record is from RNAcentral. Lineage: Eukaryota; Metazoa; Nematoda; Chromadorea; Rhabditida; Rhabditidae.
UAUGAUAUCACGAUGUAUUUU